CUUUCUCUCUGUCUUCUUCUCAUCUCUCUCUUUCUAUCUCUGUCUUCUUCUCAUCUCUCUCUUUCUAUCUCUCUGUCUUCUUCUCUUUUCUCUCUUUCUAUCUCUCUGUCAUCUCAUCUCUCUUUUUCUAUCUCUCUGUCUCUGUCUUCUUCUCAUCUCUCUCUUUCUGUCUCUGUCUUUGUCUUCUACUCAUCUCUCUCUUUCUGUCUCUCUGUCUUCAUCUCAUCUCUCUUUCUAUCUCUCUGUCUUCUUCUCUUCUCUCUCUUUCUAUCUCUCUGUCAUCUCAUCUCUCUUGUUCUCUCUCUCUGUCUUUGCCUUCUACUCAUCUCUCUCUUUCUGUCUCUCUGUCUUCAUCUCAUCUCUCUUUCUAUCUCUUUGUCUCUGUCUUCUUCUCAUCUCUCUCUUUCUAGCUUUCCAUCUUCUUCUCGUCUCUCUCCUUCUAUCUCUCUAUCAUCUAUCUCUUUCUCUUCUUCUCGUCUCUCUCUUUCUAUCUCCCUGUCUUCUUUUGUCUCUCUCUUUCGCUUCUUAUCAUCUCUCUCUUUCUAUCUUUCUGUCUUCUUCUCAUAUGUCUCUUUCUAUCUCUUUGUCUUCUUCUCUUCUGUCUCGUUCUAUCUCUCUGUCUUCUUCUCAUCUCUCUCUUUCUAUCUCUCUGUCUUCUUCUCAUCUCUCUCUUUCUAUCGCUUUUUCUUCUUCUCAUCUCUCUUUCUAUCUCUCUUUCUUCUUCUCAUCUCUCUUUCUAUUUCUCUGUCUUCUUCUCGUCUCUCUCUUUCUAUCGCUCUGUCUUCUUCUUAUCUCUCUCUCUAUCGCUCUGUCUUCUUCUCAUCUCUCUCUUUCUAUCUCUCUGUCUUCCUCUCAUCUCUCUCUUUCUAUCUCUCUGUCUUCCUCUCAUCUCUCUCUUUCUAUCUAUCUGUCUUCUUCUCAUCUCUCUCUUUCUAUCUCUCUGUCUGUCUUCUACUCAUCUCUCUUGUUCUCUCUCUGUCUGUCUUCUACUCAUCUCUCUCUUUCUGUCUCUGUCUUUGUCUUCUACUCAUCUCUCUCUUUCUGUCUCUGUCUUUG
This 1056-nucleotide long non-coding RNA is filed under the name Astyanax mexicanus (Mexican tetra). RNAcentral's name for it is "lncRNA (ENSAMXG00005000495.1)". The record is from RNAcentral. Lineage: Eukaryota; Metazoa; Chordata; Actinopteri; Characiformes; Acestrorhamphidae.